AUGACCCUCCAGGUGUGGUUCCACUGACCGCUCUAGGGCUUGUUCCUGAUGGCUCCCCAGGUGUGGUUCCACUGAUAGCUCCAGGUGUUCCUGAUGACCCUCCAGGUGUGGUUCCACUGACAGCUCCAGGUGUUCCUGAUGUCCCCCCAUGUGUGGUUCCACUGACAGCUCCAGGUGUUCCUGAUGACCCUCCAGGUGUGGUUCCAC
Long non-coding RNA from Perognathus longimembris pacificus (Pacific pocket mouse), 207 nucleotides. RefSeq lists it as uncharacterized. NCBI's taxonomy places the organism in Eukaryota, Metazoa, Chordata, Mammalia, Rodentia, Heteromyidae. The record is from RefSeq and is a predicted model, not a curated record. The transcript is spliced from 3 exons.